This 647-nucleotide ribosomal RNA is filed under the name Cheimonophyllum roseum. Its description in RNAcentral is "eukaryotic LSU rRNA". The stretch from base 246 to 399 matches the Rfam family "5.8S ribosomal RNA". Lineage: Eukaryota; Fungi; Basidiomycota; Agaricomycetes; Agaricales; Cyphellaceae. The record is from RNAcentral.
GAGGAAGUAAAAGUCGUAACAAGGUUUCCGUAGGUGAACCUGCGGAAGGAUCAUUAAUGAAUUAAAUCCGAGGUCGUUGCUGCUGGUCUCUUGAGACAUCGUGCACGCUUCCUUCUUAUUCAUCCACCCCAAACCGUGCACUCAUCGUAGGCCGGAGAUUUCUCCGGUCUAUGUAUUUCUUAAACACCGUAAAAAGUAAAUGAACGUAUCGAAUGCCGCUCACGCGGUAUUAACAAAAUUAAUACAACUUUCAACAACGGAUCUCUUGGCUCUCGCAUCGAUGAAGAACGCAGCGAAAUGCGAUAAGUAAUGUGAAUUGCAGAAUUCAGUGAAUCAUCGAAUCUUUGAACGCACCUUGCACCCUUUGGUAUUCCGAAGGGUAUGCCUGUUUGAGUGUCAUUAAAUUAUCAACUCGAGAAUUCUUUUUCUCGAUGUUUGGACUUGGAGUGUGCAGGGCUUUCUUAAGAUCCCAGCUCCUCUUGAAAUGAAUUAGCGGAACUCUUUCGGUUUGCUCCGGCGUGAUAAUUAUCUACGUUGCGGCAUGAUCGUGUUAUCUGCUCAUAACCGUUGCAUAUAUGCGCAACAAAUGCUUUAUGACAAUUUGACCUCAGAUCAGGUAGGACUACCCGCUGAACUUAAGCAUAUCA